This 460-nucleotide ribosomal RNA is filed under the name uncultured bacterium. RNAcentral describes it as "partial 16S ribosomal RNA". It matches the Rfam family "Bacterial small subunit ribosomal RNA", at positions 338 to 795 of the family's 1533-position model. The record is from RNAcentral.
CCUACGGGAGGCAGCAGUGAGGAAUAUUGGUCAAUGGGCGAGACUCUGAACCAGCCAAGCCGCGUGAAGGAUGACUGCUCUAUGCGCUGUAAACUUCUUUUAUAUGGGAAUAAAAUGUUCCACGUGUGGGAUUUUGUAUGUACCAUAUGAAUAAGGAUCGGCUAACUCCGUGCCAGCGGCCGCGGUAAUCCGGAUGUUCCGGGCGUUAUCCGGAGUUAUUGGGUUUAAAGGGAGCGUAGGUGGAUUGGUAAGCCAGUUGUGAAAGUUUGCGGUGCAACCGUAAAAUUGCAGUUGAAACUGGAAGGCUGGAGUACAGUAGAGGUGGGCGGAAUUCGUGGUGUAGCGGUGAAAUGCGUAGAUAUCACGAAGAACUCCGAUUGCGAAGGCAGCUCACUGGACUGCAACUGACACUGAGGCUCGAAAGUGUGGGUAUCAAACAGGAUUAGAUACCCUGGUAGAC